GUUUGAUCCUGGCUCAGGAUGAACGCUGGCGGCGUGCCUAACACAUGCAAGUCGAACGGACUUUCCAUGAAGCCUAGCGAUAGAAAAGUUAGUGGCGGACGGGUGAGUAACGCGUGGGUAACCUGCCUUGUACUGGGGGACAACAGUUGGAAACGACUGCUAAUACCGCAUAAGCGCACAGCUUCGCAUGAAGCAGUGUGAAAAACUCCGGUGGUACAAGAUGGACCCGCGUCUGAUUAGCUGGUUGGUGAGGUAACGGCCCACCAAGGCGACGAUCAGUAGCCGGCCUGAGAGGGUGAACGGCCACAUUGGGACUGAGACACGGCCCAAACUCCUACGGGAGGCAGCAGUGGGGAAUAUUGCACAAUGGGGGGAACCCUGAUGCAGCAACGCCGCGUGAGUGAAGAAGUAUUUCGGUAUGUAAAGCUCUAUCAGCAGGAAAGAAAAUGACGGUACCUGACUAAGAAGCCCCGGCUAACUACGUGCCAGCAGCCGCGGUAAUACGUAGGGGGCAAGCGUUAUCCGGAUUUACUGGGUGUAAAGGGGAAGCGGCUAGGCGGUGUUGGCAAGUCUGAAGUGAAAGCCCGGGGCUCUAACCCCGGUGACUGCAUUUGGAAACUGUCGUACUAGAG
RNAcentral lists this ribosomal RNA (632 nucleotides) under uncultured bacterium. RNAcentral's name for it is "bacterial SSU rRNA". It matches the Rfam family "Bacterial small subunit ribosomal RNA", at positions 11 to 646 of the family's 1533-position model. The record is from RNAcentral.